GUCCAGACUCCUACGGGAGGCAGCAGUGGGGAAUAUUGCACAAUGGGGGGAACCCUGAUGCAGCGACGCCGCGUGGGUGAAGGAGCACCUCGGUGCGUAAAGCCCUAUCGGCAGGGAAGAAACAGACGGUACCUGACUAAGAAGCCCCGGCUAACUACGUGCCAGCAGCCGCGGGAAUACGUAUGGUGCAAGCGUUAUCCGGAUUUACUGGGUGUAAAGGGAGCGCAGGCGGCACGCUAAGCCUGAUGUGAAAACCCGCGGCCCAACCGCGGGAGUGCAUUGGGAACUGGCGAGCUAGAGUACCGGAGGGGCAGGCGGAAUUCCUAGUGUAGCGGUGAAAUGCGUAGAUAUUAGGAGGAACACCAGUGGCGAAGGCGGCCUGCUGGACGGAGACUGACGCUGAGGCUCGAAAGCGUGGGGAGCAAACAGGAUUAGAUACCCGAGUACAU
This 449-nucleotide ribosomal RNA is filed under the name uncultured bacterium. RNAcentral's name for it is "partial 16S ribosomal RNA". It matches the Rfam family "Bacterial small subunit ribosomal RNA", at positions 329 to 798 of the family's 1533-position model. The record is from RNAcentral.